GCCUUCGUGGUGUAGUGGUCACCACGCUCGACGCGUAACCGAGAGAUCCGUGGUUCGAUUCCCGGCUAGGGCA
Stegodyphus mimosarum is the source of this 73-nucleotide non-coding RNA. The record is from Rfam. Lineage: Eukaryota; Metazoa; Arthropoda; Arachnida; Araneae; Eresidae.